Cyprinodon tularosa is the source of this 1202-nucleotide long non-coding RNA. RefSeq lists it as uncharacterized. NCBI's taxonomy places the organism in Eukaryota, Metazoa, Chordata, Actinopteri, Cyprinodontiformes, Cyprinodontidae. The transcript has 3 exons. The record is from RefSeq and is a predicted model, not a curated record.
CCGGGUCUGCUGCUCCAACUGUAUACCAAACAGAGCGGAGCUGUUUGAAGGCGAUUUUAACCCGGGUUGCUUGCAGUUUGACCCGGGUUAGUGAGUCGUUCUCAUUGCCAGGUUUAAACAUGGUUUUUGGUCAGUGGAAAAGGGGUAUAAGACAAAUACUUUUUGAUUUGAUAACAUAUUUUCCACCCCUACUGGGGUGAGCAUUGAUUAUAUUAUAAAUGCAUAAGACACAAAAUGCCCUAAAGCUCUGAAGGAAUCUUAUUGUUUCAUACAGUGACUUGAACAGAAAGCAGAGACCAUAGGCCGUGAAAGAAGAUGCCUAAUGCAUCAACAUCCUUUCCAGUAAAAACAUGUUGGUUCACUGGGAUCAGACGUCCCUGCAUCACCGCCUGAUGAGGGGCUCCUCCAUCAAUCUCCAUCAGAGCAAGCUUCCAACUGUGUCCUGACUUUGAGGAGAUGUUAGGUCCUGGCAGGACGUCGUCAUUUAGACUCAGAACAAGUUCAUUCAGACAGUUGAAGGAUGAAUAAUGCAGCAGAGAAAAUAAACGUCCACUCACAAAGUUUUUCAUAGAAAGUCUUUGGUGGAGAUGCUUAAAAACAGACAACAACAAUUCUUUCCCCUAAGAUUCAUCUUCCUUCAAACAAUGUUCUAUGUGUGUGGAGGACCAGACUUAUUUAUGAGAGCUCUCAAAGCCGGCUCCGUGCCUUCACAAACAAGAGAACCUCUGUUACUGAGUGGAUUUGUGCUGGGAUAAUGAUGGGAGAGACUGGGAGGGAGAGCUAAGAUCUGCGCCUGAGCGGCUCUCUAAUCAUUUUCCAAAGGAACCUGACAACUAUCCAUUUAUCUCUGUCAGAUUUGUGGCUUGGAUGUUUCCCAAACAAAUGCUUAGCUCCAUCUUUAUCCUGCUUCUGCUCAGGAUCAUUACAUUGAUCAACACCAUCUGAAGUCCCAUGUAGGCACUCUUGUACAGGGGUCCACACUUCCCGUAUAAACAAAGACAAACCACAACGAGGUAAAGCCAUGAUUCCUGUGGUCCAAAAGACUAACAAUAAGGAACGGAAAUGAUAAAACCAAGGAACAGUUUGACAACAGGGCUGCUCAGUGGUGCAGUGGGUAGCACUGCUGCCUUGCCUUGCAGCAAGAAGGUUCUGGGUGCGAUUCCCAGCCUGGGGUCUUUCUGCAUGGAGUUUGCAUUUUCUCC